GGAGGGUGCAAGCGUUGUUCGGAAUUAUUGGGGGGCGUAAAGCGCGUGUAGGGCGGGCUUGGGCAAGUCGGGUGUGAAAGCCCGGGGCCCAACCCCGGAACUGCAUUCGAAACUGCCUCGCUAGAGUCCCGGAGAGGAAGGCGGAAUUCCCGGUGUAGAGGUGAAAUUCGUAGAUAUCGGGAGGAACACCAGCGGCGAAGGCGGCCUUCUGGACGGUGACUGACGCUGAGACGCGAAAGCGUGGGGAGCAAACAGGAUUAGAUACCCUGGUAGUCCACGCCGUAAACGUUGGGUGCUAGGUGUCGCGGGUAUUGACCCCUGCGGUGCCGGCGUUAACGCAUUUAGCACCCCGCCUGGGGAGUACGGUCGCAAAGGCUA
RNAcentral lists this ribosomal RNA (378 nucleotides) under uncultured organism. Its description in RNAcentral is "partial 16S ribosomal RNA". It matches the Rfam family "Bacterial small subunit ribosomal RNA", at positions 527 to 896 of the family's 1533-position model. The record is from RNAcentral.